Molecule: ribosomal RNA, 496 nt
Filed under: uncultured bacterium
Lineage: Bacteria
Description: partial 16S ribosomal RNA
Rfam family: Bacterial small subunit ribosomal RNA
Source: RNAcentral
AUGAACGCUGGCGGCGUGCCUCAUACCUGCAAGUCGAGCGAACGGACGAGAAGCUUGCUUCUCUGAUGUUAGCGGCGGACGGGUGAGUAACACGUGGAUAACCUACCUAUAAGACUGGGAUAACUUCGGGAAACCGGAGCUAAUACCGGAUGAUAUUUUGAACCGCAUGGUUCAAAAGUGAAAGACGGUCUUGCUGUCACUUAUAGAUGGAUCCGCGCUGCAUUAGCUAGUUGGUAAGGUAACGGCUUACCAAGGCAACGAUGCAUAGCCGACCUGAGAGGGUGAUCGGCCACACUGGAACUGAGACACGGUCCAGACUCCUACGGGAGGCAGCAGUAGGGAAUCUUCCGCAAUGGGCGAAAGCCUGACGGAGCAACGCCGCGUGAGUGAUGAAGGUCUUCGGAUCGUAAAACUCUGUUAUUAGGGAAGAACAUAUGUGUAAGUAACUGUGCACAUCUUGACGGUACCUAAUCAGAAAGCCACGGCUAACUACGUG